GUGCAUGCGGGUGCUAUACAUGCAAGUCGAGCGGACCGACGGGAGCUUGCUCCCUUAGGUCAGCGGCGGACGGGUGAGUAACACGUGGGUAACCUGCCUGUAAGACUGGGAUAACUCCGGGAAACCGGGGCUAAUACCGGAUGCUUGAUUGAACCGCAUGGUUCAAUCAUAAAAGGUGGCUUUUAGCUACCACUUACAGAUGGACCCGCGGCGCAUUAGCUAGUUGGUGAGGUAACGGCUCACCAAGGCGACGAUGCGUAGCCGACCUGAGAGGGUGAUCGGCCACACUGGGACUGAGACACGGCCCAGACUCCUACGGGAGGCAGCAGUAGGGAAUCUUCCGCAAUGGACGAAAGUCUGACGGAGCAACGCCGCGUGAGUGAUGAAGGUUUUCGGAUCGUAAAACUCUGUUGUUAGGGAAGAACAAGUACCGUUCGAAUAGGGCGGCACCUUGACGGUACCUAACCAGAAAGCCACGGCUAACUACGUGCCAGCAGCCGCGGUAAUACGUAGGUGGCAAGCGUUGUCCGGAAUUAUUGGGCGUAAAGCGCGCGCAGGCGGUUUCUUAAGUCUGAUGUGAAAGCCCCCGGCUCAACCGGGGAGGGUCAUUGGAAACUGGGGAACUUGAGUGCAGAAGAGGAGAGUGGAAUUCCACGUGUAGCGGUGAAAUGCGUAGAGAUGUGGAGGAACACCAGUGGCGAAGGCGACUCUCUGGUCUGUAACUGACGCUGAGGCGCGAAAGCGUGGGGAGCGAACAGGAUUAGAUACCCUGGUAGUCCACGCCGUAAACGAUGAGUGCUAAGUGUUAGAGGGUUUCCGCCCUUUAGUGCUGCAGCAAACGCAUUAAGCACUCCGCCUGGGGAGUACGGUCGCAAGACUGAAACUCAAAGGAAUUGACGGGGGCCCGCACAAGCGGUGGAGCAUGUGGUUUAAUUCGAAGCAACGCGAAGAACCUUACCAGGUCUUGACAUCCUCUGACAA
RNAcentral lists this ribosomal RNA (981 nucleotides) under Bacillus aerius. RNAcentral describes it as "bacterial SSU rRNA". It matches the Rfam family "Bacterial small subunit ribosomal RNA", at positions 33 to 997 of the family's 1533-position model. The record is from RNAcentral. Lineage: Bacteria; Bacillati; Bacillota; Bacilli; Caryophanales; Bacillaceae.